GACGGUACCUGAAGAAAAAGCAUCGGCUAACUCCGUGCCAGCAGCCGCGGUAAUACGGAGGAUGCAAGCGUUAUCCGGAAUCAUUGGGCGUAAAGGGUCCGCAGGUGGCGAAUAAAGUCUGCUGUUAAAGACCGGGACUAAACUCCGGAAAGGCAGUGGAAACUGAUUAGCUAGAGUACGGUAGGGGUAGAGGGAAUUCCCAGUGUAGCGGUGAAAUGCGUAGAUAUUGGGAAGAACACCGGUGGCGAAGGCGCUCUACUAGGCCGAAACUGACACUGAGGGACGAAAGCUAGGGUAGCGAAAGGGAUUAGAUACCCCUGUAGUCUUAGCUGUAAACGAUGGAUACUAGGCGUAGCUUGUAUCGACCCGAGCUGUGCCGAAGCUAACGCGAUAAGUAUCCCGCCUGGGGAGUACGCACGCAAGUGUGAAACUCAAAGGAAUUGACGGGGGCCCGCACAAGCGGUGGAGUAUGUGGUUUAAUUCGAUGCAACGCGAAGAACCUUACCAGGGCUUGACAUGUCGCGAAUCUGGCGGAAACGUUAGAGUGCCUUAGGGAACGCGAACACAGGUGGUGCAUGGCUGUCGUCAGCUCGUGUCGUGAGAUGUUGGGUUAAGUCCCGCAACGAGCGCAACCCUCGUCCUUAGUUGCCAAUAUUAAGUUAGGCACUCUAGGGAGACUGCCGGGGACAACUCGGAGGAAGGUGGGGAUGAUGUCAAGUCAGCAUGCCCCUUACGUCCUGGGCGACACACGUACUACAAUGGUUGGGACAAAGGGCAGCAAGCUCGCGAGAGUAAGCGAAUCUCAUCAAACCCAGCCACAGUUCAGAUUGCAGGCUGCAACUCGCCUGCAUGAAGUAGGAAUCGCUAGUAAUCGCAGGUCAGCAUACUGCGGUGAAUUCGUUCCCGGGCCUUGUACACACCGCCCGUCACACCAUGGAAGCUGGCUACGCCCGAAGUCGUUACCCUAACCCGGUUUUGGGAGGGGGAUGCCGAAGGUAGAGCUAGUGACUGGGGUGAAGUCGUAACAAGGUAGCCGUACCGGAAGGUGUGGCUGGAUCACCUCCUUU
This 1067-nucleotide ribosomal RNA is filed under the name uncultured cyanobacterium. RNAcentral describes it as "bacterial SSU rRNA". It matches the Rfam family "Bacterial small subunit ribosomal RNA", at positions 471 to 1533 of the family's 1533-position model. The record is from RNAcentral. Lineage: Bacteria; Bacillati; Cyanobacteriota.